RNAcentral lists this unclassified non-coding RNA (249 nucleotides) under plant metagenome. RNAcentral's name for it is "partial contains small subunit ribosomal RNA, internal transcribed spacer 1, and 5.8S ribosomal RNA". The stretch from base 201 to 249 matches the Rfam family "5.8S ribosomal RNA", at positions 1 to 49 of the family's 154-position model. The record is from RNAcentral.
UCUCCGUAGGUGAACCUGCGGAGGGAUCAUUACAGAGUUCAUGCCCUACCGGGUAGAUCUCCCACCCUAUGUUAUUAUUACUUUGUUGCUUUGGCGGGCCGUUAGGCUCCGGCCCGACUACCGGCCCCAGCUGGUAAGCGCCCGCCAGAGGACCCAAAACCCUGAAUAUUAGUGUCGUCUGAGUACUAUAUAAUAGUUAAAACUUUCAACAACGGAUCUCUUGGUUCUGUCAUCGAUGAAGAACGCAGC